UUUAAAGUCUAAUCUGCCCCCUGAAAUUAUUUUAAAGGGCUGCGGUAUUUUAACCGUACAAAGGUAGCAUAAUAAUUAGGUUUUUGAUUGAAAUCUAGAAUGAAUGAUUGGACGAGAUACAAGCUGUUUUAUAAUGAUUAAUUAGAAUUUAAUUUUUUAGUCAAAAAGCUAAAAUUUUAUUAAAAGACGAGAAGACCCUAUAAAUCUUUAUAAUAAAUUUAUUUUAAUAAAUUAUUUUAUUUAAAUUAAUAAUUUUAAUAUUAAAUUAUUUUAUUGGGGUGAUACAAAAAUUUAAUUAACUUUUUUAUUGAAAUUUCUUAAAUUAAAGAUUUAUAAAAAUAUGAUCUAUUAUUAAUAAUUCAGAGAAUAAGAUACUUUAGGGAUAACAGCGUAAUUUUAAUUUUAAGUUCUUAUUAAAAUUAAAGAUUGCGACCUCGAUGUUGGAUUAAAAUUUAA
This 456-nucleotide ribosomal RNA is filed under the name Drusus melanchaetes. RNAcentral describes it as "partial 16S ribosomal RNA". Lineage: Eukaryota; Metazoa; Arthropoda; Insecta; Trichoptera; Limnephilidae. The record is from RNAcentral.